Molecule: non-coding RNA, 144 nt
Organism: Gossypium raimondii (Peruvian cotton)
Lineage: Eukaryota; Viridiplantae; Streptophyta; Magnoliopsida; Malvales; Malvaceae
Source: Rfam
UGUUAAAAAUUUCAUUCGUUUGUAUUGUUAAAACUAGUAUAACUGACGGAAUAACUAAACAGUAAUAUGUGACAUAUCAUAUGUACUUUAUGCUGACGUGCAAGAAUUAAUUUUUAACAGUAGAAAUAGAUAAAAUUUUUAAUA